This 371-nucleotide ribosomal RNA is filed under the name uncultured organism. RNAcentral's name for it is "bacterial SSU rRNA". It matches the Rfam family "Bacterial small subunit ribosomal RNA", at positions 528 to 896 of the family's 1533-position model. The record is from RNAcentral.
GGGGGAGCAAGCGUUGUUCGGAUUUACUGGGCGUAAAGGGCGCGUAGGCGGUCAGCACAAGUCAGUUGUGAAAUCUCCGGGCUUAACUCGGAAAGGUCAACUGAUACUGUGCGACUAGAGUGCAGAAGGGCAACUGGAAUUCUCGGUGUAGCGGUGAAAUGCGUAGAUAUCGAGAGGAACACCUGCGGCGAAGGCGGGUUGCUGGGCUGACACUGACGCUGAGGCGCGAAAGCCAGGGGAGCGAACGGGAUUAGAUACCCCGGUAGUCCUGGCCUUAAACGAUGGAUGCUUGGUGUCUGGAGUUAUAUAGUCUCCGGGUGCCGCAGCUAACGCGUUAAGCAUCCCGCCUGGGGAGUACGGUCGCAAGACUG